This 501-nucleotide ribosomal RNA is filed under the name uncultured bacterium. Its description in RNAcentral is "partial 16S ribosomal RNA". It matches the Rfam family "Bacterial small subunit ribosomal RNA", at positions 30 to 523 of the family's 1533-position model. The record is from RNAcentral.
AUUGAACGCUGGCGGCAGGCUUAACACAUGCAAGUCGAGCGGAGAUGAGGUGCUUGCACCUUAUCUUAGCGGCGGACGGGUGAGUAAUGCUUAGGAAUCUGCCUAUUAGUGGGGGACAACAUUCCGAAAGGAAUGCCAAUACCGCAUACGUCCUACGGGAGAAAGCAGGGGAUCUUCGGACCUUGCGCUAAUAGAUGAGCCUAAGUCGGAUUAGCUAGUUGGUGGGGUAAAGGCCUACCAAGGCGACGAUCUGUAGCGGGUCUGAGAGGAUGAGCCGCCACACUGGGACUGAGGCACGUCCCAGACUCCUACGGGCUGCAGCAGUGGGGAAUAUUGGACAAUGGGGGAAACCCUGAUCCAGCCAUGCCGCGGGUGUGAAGAAGGCCUUAUGGUUGUAAAGCACUUUAAGCGAGGAGGAGGCUACUGAGACUAAUACUCUUGGAUAGUGGACGUUACUCGCAGAAUAAGCACCGGCUAACUCUGUGCCAGCAGCCGCCGCAG